Molecule: RNA transcript, 1753 nt
Organism: Zingiber officinale
Lineage: Eukaryota; Viridiplantae; Streptophyta; Magnoliopsida; Zingiberales; Zingiberaceae
Gene name: CASP-like protein 1B1
Exons: 4
Source: RefSeq, a predicted model, not a curated record
AAACCUAAAUCUUUCGUUCACGCACGCCUCCACUGCUCCCUCUUCGUUCCCUCUAUCUACCAAAACCUUCGUUCCCUCUACCCAAUGGUCGAGACGUUGGUAUCCUCUCCUUAGCGGUCGAGCCCGUCAUUCUUUCCUCUCGGCGCACUCGCUAGCGAUUCUUCCUCUCCGGCAAUGGCAGACGAGAACGGGAAGCAAACUGAGACGGAGAGCAGGCCGUGGCAUCAAACGGUAACCCUCUUACUCGUAUCACUAAGGUUGGCAGCUCUUGUGGCCACCUCCACGGCUGCAGGGCUCAUGGCAUUCAACAAGGAGACAAAAACAAUCACAGUGGUCGUGGUAGGGACCAACCCCAUUCUCCAGUCUUUCACUGCGGCAUUUCAGCAAACACCUGCCUUUGUGUAAGCUUCCUUCUCUAGCGUCGAUAUUUGAGAUCCAUUACGAUUUAGCAUUUUGACAUUUGGCUUCGUCACAAAUACUUCGUGCUUGCCAAUGCCAUUGCGAGCCUGUAUAACCUACUGGCGAAGCUGCUCCGGCCAUGCUUGAAGAACAUAGGACGUCAAGUUUUAGUGCAUCUUUUGCAGCUCCGGUCGGGCCCUCUCAAAUUAUGGGCCCAGGGCCGUCGCCCAGUGCCGCCCUCCUCCAGGGCCGGCCCUGUCCUUCCUCUCGGCGCUCUCGCUGCGCAUUGUCCCCUCCGCCAAGGGUUCAAUCCGCCUAGGGUCCAAUCCCUCAAUGGGUCUUAGCAACUCGCCAACCUCAAUCUACAAAAGCUCUAGAACUUAAAGGCUCGAGGAAUCCUGUUGUUUGGCUUGAAACUUCUUCAGACUCCAUCCUAACAGCAAGGUAUUCUCUACUGAAACAAACUACAGAAACACAAACUUGUCUAUUAGUAUCAUAGAUUGUUGAUAUUAUACUUGAUUGAAUCUCUAUUUAGUACCAGAAAUAUCAAUGUCUUGGUUACUUUAGGAUGACUAAUUCCAAUUUUCAUCAAGUAUUUCUCAAUGAGUCAACGUUGCAAUCUCUGCUAAUAAUAGUAUGUAAAUUCUAUCAUCAUUGGUUCUAUAUCCAUAUUUGUUCCUAUUGAAUAAAUGAAAAAUUUAUUCCAAAGUAGGGAGGAUGAAUCAAAUAAAUUAACCUAUUUUGCUAAAUUAGAACCAAAGUCAAUUGCUUGUUUUACUUGAACCUAAUUUUCUUUGGCACUGAACUAUAAAAUCGAUUUUGUUGGAAUCUAUAUAUGAGUUCACUAAGGAAAUAAAUUUUAAAACCCAUUUACCUUGUAGAGAAAGAAAAUAAACAUAUGCUAAUUUAUGUUCCGACAAUUGAACCUAAUAUUGUUUUUUAUUACUUUUCAUCUCAUGUCGAAUUCCUUGUGAUCAGAGACGCAAAAGAGGAGUGUGAAAGUUCAUUCAUGGAAGGCAAAACCCUCUUUAUUGACUCCAACAUCCCUAUUUAUUAUUAUCUUCAGUGCAUCCCUUGAAGAUGCUAAAGAUAGGAGAAAGCCUUGAUCACUAUCCUCUUCUCCUAGAGUCGCCAUUCUCGUGCAGAUGGAAAUUAUAUCAUUUAAGCUCCAAGUUCUACUAGCUGAGUUUUUUCUAUGUGUGAUGACCUUCUUGUUUUGUUCUUAAUUGCAAGAUUUUUUUUUGUAAGUUUACUAAAUUGAUUGAGGAGUUGAUUAAGUUCGUUAAUUGUAUACAUAUCCACGCUUACUCAAUAAAAUUGUACUUGGCAUUAUUCAAAGUGUUAUUUGUCUAAA